ACGAGGUGCUGCAUGGUUGUCGUCAGCUCGUGCCGUGAGGUGUCGGGUUAAGUCCCAUAACGAGCGCAACCCUACCUUUAGUUGCCAUCAGGUAAUGCUGGGGACUCUAAAGGAACUGCCUACGCAAGUAGUGAGGAAGCGGGGAUGACGUCAAAUCAGCACGGCCCUUACGUCCAGGGCUACACACGUGCUACAAUGGCCGAUACAGAGGGCAGCUACCUGGUGACAGGAUGCAAAUCUCCAAAGUCGGUCUCAGUUCGGAUCGGAGUCUGCAACCCGACUCCGUGAAGUUGGAUUCGCUAGUAAUCGCGCAUCAGCCAUGGCGCGGUGAAUACGUUCCCGGGCCUU
This 348-nucleotide ribosomal RNA is filed under the name uncultured Sphingobacteriales bacterium. Its description in RNAcentral is "bacterial SSU rRNA". It matches the Rfam family "Bacterial small subunit ribosomal RNA", at positions 1033 to 1382 of the family's 1533-position model. The record is from RNAcentral. Lineage: Bacteria; Pseudomonadati; Bacteroidota; Sphingobacteriia; Sphingobacteriales.